GGCACGUCCACAGUGGGCGACUGUAGCUGCCUUUAAAACGGGAUCUGCACAGCCGCUCUCUGCGAAGUGACAACAGCGUCCGUUCCUGAAACUUUGUCGUUUUUGUUUGGUAAAAGUUAACACUCGCGUAAACACUGACAGGACACACACAUAUAUCUGGACUUUAGUUUAUAAAAAAUCAAACUCGGAGAGAGAGAGAAAUUGUUUUCCUGGAGGGGUUUAUUUUGAAAAAGAAGAGCAAAAAAUCAGAAGGCGAAACUGGUUCGGGAAAGGACAUAAACCAAGAAGCAUCUCAGCCGCUUUGUUCUGCUAGGGAACAUCAGGCUGGAAACUAUUAUCAAUUCAGGCGUGGAUGGUUAAAGCAAUCUUGUGACCCAUCAAGGCCAGCGUCGCAGGGCAGAGCGAGAUGGCUGUUGCUGGGUGACCCUGGGGAUCACCGCUUCAGUUCUGUGUCACCUGGCAUUUUGAGGGUGCUUUAAGACUUUAUCUUCUCAGAGACAAGGUGAUGAUGAGAAUCAGAAGAUUCAGAAACCAGUAACAAAAAGGAAUGGAAUUUCCAAUUGGGUCAUCUGAUGGUUUGCCAUUAUUUCAGAGCCUGGACAAAACCCAGGAAAGACACCAUAAAUAUUGCGAUUGGGAGAAAGCCAACAGGAGAAAUGCAAUCACCAGCCAACCCCCGUCAAGGUCUGUCAAGAAAAGAGAUCAGACACUUGUUCAACUUUCCAAAGUUCACAUGCAAAGGGUUUCCAGCAAUUACUUUGUGCUGCUGACCUGCUGAGAUCCUCCAGCAUUUUAUGUGUGUUGCUCAGGAUUUCCAGCAUCUACAGACUUUCUUGUGUUUAGAUCUAAUAGAGCUGUCCACCAUAUGAGUAACUAAUGUAAGAAGUAGAUUCUCCCACUGGUCGAACAAAGUGGAAAGAUCAAACAAAAUACAGUAUAAGGAUAACCAACAUGGUCUCUGCAUAAGGGAAGGCCUUAGCAGACAGGAUUAAAGAAAACCCCAUCCUUAACUACCCAGCAGAUGCCUUUUUCAAAAACUCCCUUCUGGAAAAAGUACAGGGGCAGGGCUAUUAAAACAAAAACAUCACAGCAUCUUAAAAGUUUUUUUUCCCCAGGCAGUUAAUCUGAUCAACCAUUCUAGUUAGCACCCCGCCCCCCUCUAUCUACUACCCCUAUCACUGCACUGCCCUGUAAACACUUUAAGCAACUUUUUAUAAUGCAGUUUUACAUUGUAAAUACAUGCUGCUGUUUACUGUAUGUAAGCACAUGGUAACAUAGCAGAUAACUUAAUGCUUUACAGAGCCAGCAAUCCUGGCUCAAUUCCACCACUGCCUGUAAGGAACUUGUAUGUUCCCCCUGUGACAAUGUGGGUUUCCUCCAAAUGAUACAGUUUCUUCUCACAUUCCAAAGAUGUACAAAUUAGUAGAAUAAUUGGAGGCAUACAGAAGGUGUAAUUGGGCAGCAUAGGCUUGUUAGGAUGAAAGGGCUAAUCACUGCUGUACUGCUGUAUCUCUAAAAUUUUAUUCCAUAUCUAUAUUUCUAACUUUAUUUCAUAUGUCAUCAGUUUUCAUAACUGUUGAAUGUUGUUCUUUCUGUUGCCUGUCGCUCCAACACAGUGCAGCAAAUUCCUAAUACAUAAAUGGUGGAUAAAGUUGAUUCUUAAUUAAUUGCAUUCAGUAGGUUCCACUCUUAUCGCAGCGGAGAGUUUGAGACCCACUCUAGUAACCUGAGAACAAGCCAGUCUGGAGGACGGAUGCAGAGCAGAGGGGGUAUGGAUCUGUCAGCUUCCAACCAAGGUGCUAAACUGAGGCUGAGCCUGCUACCCUCAGGUGAAUAUAAAAUACCCCACAGCUAGUCUGAAGUAGAGAUGGAGGAUGCCCACUCUAGCAUUUAACUCUGCAAGCAUUUUUCACAUGGUGGGGCACUGGGAGGUGUUCAAAGUGUCCUUGUGCUCACUCCAUAAGAACACUCAGGUUCAGCAAGCAAUUAGCACGGCAAAUGAUCUAUCUGUUGGGUCAUUGCUGGAGGCUUUGAGUGCAAGAGUAGAGAUAUCUCACUGCAGUUCUACAAGGUCUCAGUGGGAACAUGCCUGGAGUAUUGUGUUUAAUUUUGAUUCCCAUAUCUAAAUAAAGAUAUGCUUACUAAUGAAGCAGAGCAGCAAAAUUAGCUCCUGGGAUGAUCUGACACAUUAGUCAAGAAUUUUAAAAAAUGGAAGGGUAUCUGAUUACUCUGUAUCUGCAUUCUGUUAUUGUUUUACCCUCUUCCACCUCAAUGCACCAUGCAAUUAUUUGAUAGGUAUGAACAGUAUUUCAAGUUCAGAUUUAUCGUCCUUCCACUAUAUACAGGUAAACAAAACAACAUUUCUCCAGACCAACAUGCAUAAUGUAGUACAUGUACAGUAACUCACACAUCACCGAAAAUAAUAUUACUACAAAUAAAUGGUAAUAUUUACCAUUUACAUUACCACAAAAUAUAUUCCAGAAGAUUGACAUUUAGUGUAAAAUCAAAAAGUAAACAGUAUAAUACUACUGGCACUUCAUACUUGAUGAGAUCUGGGUGAUAGCAGAGAGUGCAAUAGUCUGAUGGACUAGGAGAAGAAGCUGUUCCCCAUCCUAACAGUUCUUGUCCUGAUGCUACUGUAUCUCCUGCCUGAUGAUAGGGGGUCAAAGAGAUUGUGGAACGGAUGGGAGAUAUCCUUGACAAUGUUUGUUAAGGAACUCACAAGCUUUUCACUGUAUCUUGGCAUAUGUGAUAGUUAUAAACUGAUUCCAAUUCUAAUAAACAAGACCAGGUAAGAUGGAUAAAUUUUCUCCCCAACAGAGUCUAAGUGAACCAGAUGUAUUUAUCAUUAAUCCAAUUGGUUCAUUACUGGCAGUAGUCCCUGUUUACCCCAGAUAUGAGGAUGCUUGCUAUGAUGGCAGUGUAGAAUUGCACUAGUUUUUUGAUAGUUUUAUACUUUAUUCUGCAUUGUUAUUGUCUUGCCUUAUUCUAGCGAAGUGCACUGUGUAACAAACUAAUCUGUAUGAACAAGCUUUUCAUUGUAUCUUGUUACAUUUGAUACCAAUAAACUAAUUCCA
Hypanus sabinus (Atlantic stingray) is the source of this 3077-nucleotide long non-coding RNA. RefSeq lists it as uncharacterized. The record is from RefSeq and is a predicted model, not a curated record. Lineage: Eukaryota; Metazoa; Chordata; Chondrichthyes; Myliobatiformes; Dasyatidae. The transcript has 6 exons.